AGAAUCUUCAAUGCCUCAAACAUCAUCUACCACUUGGAAGCUGUAGCUAGAGCUGCAAUGGCCAUGUUGCGACCAUGAAAAAAAGGCCAAGAGAUCUGCAAAGAAAUGAGCCCUGACUUAUUCCACUGCUGAACUAAUAUCAGCAAUUGCCUGCCUUGAACGUCUUGUUAUGUGAUCAAACUCUUCUGUUUCUCAGCAGUUUCUUCUUCCUUGAAGAACUUGGAGUGACAUUAGCUAAAGAAGUGAACAAAACCUCCCCUCACUUAUAUUUCACGAACUGUCUGCUGAGCAGAGUGAAAGAGGUAACUGUGAUGCUACAUGUUCUAGUGGAAGUUCAGUGCAGUUAUAGUUGAACAAGAACUCAACAGAACAAAACCAUCAUUUUGUUCCAUCGGAUAGUCUUUGAUAUUCCCCACUGUAUCAUAUUGAUGAAUGCCAAAUGACUCCCAAACUUGCCCUAAGACCUUCACUGACCUUUCAAUUUCUAACUGUAUUGUGAAGCACUUUAGGGGGUCUUGACUUCAUGCUUUGUCAGACUAGCUCUUUUCGUGAAUGAAGUUCAUGCAUAUGGCAGUACAAUAGACACUAUUAAGUCGCCCAGAUGAUAUAUCAGAGAUGCAUUUUUAAAGGAUUGUUAAAGGUAAGAGAUAUUAUACAUAUAAGAAGAGACCAUCUCCUUGAUCCAUAGGACAGAAGUUCUUUAGAAAGACAACUAAGCCAUGAAUACAUUCCAACAUCAAAACCCAAGAGCUAAUCCUGUGG
Molecule: long non-coding RNA, 762 nt
Filed under: Homo sapiens (human)
Lineage: Eukaryota; Metazoa; Chordata; Mammalia; Primates; Hominidae
Description: HSALNT0125382
Source: RNAcentral